Molecule: ribosomal RNA, 498 nt
Filed under: uncultured bacterium
Lineage: Bacteria
Description: partial 16S ribosomal RNA
Rfam family: Bacterial small subunit ribosomal RNA
Source: RNAcentral
ACUCAAAUGAAUUGACGGGGGCCCGCACAAGUGGUGGAGCAUGUGGUUUAAUUCGAUGAUACGCGAGGAACCUUACCUAGGCUAGAAUGCGCGUGACCGGCUCAGAGAUGAGCCUUUCCUUCGGGACACAAAGCAAGGUGCUGCAUGGCCGUCGUCAGCUCGUGCCGUGAGGUGUUGGGUUAAGUCCCGCAACGAGCGCAACCCCUACUGUUAGUUGCCAGCGGAUUAUGCCGGGGACUCUAAUAGGACUGCCUGCGCAAGCAGUGAGGAAGGCGGGGACGACGUCAGGUCAUCAUGGCCCUUACGCCUAGGGCUACACACGUGCUACAAUGGACGGUACAGAGGGUCGCUACACUGCGAAGUGAUGCCAAUCUCACAAAGCCGUUCUCAGUUCGGAUCGGAGUCUGCAACUCGACUCCGUGAAGCUGGAAUCACUAGUAAUCGCGUAUCAGCAAUGACGCGGUGAAUACGUUCCCGGGCCUUGUACACACCGCCCGU